GAAUAAAAAUUAUAAUGUAAUUAAAUAUUAGUUAUAUGUUAAUUAAAAUAAUAAUAAAUUUUAUAGAAAUUUUAGUAUUUAUAAGGAAAAAAAAUUAUUUAUUUAUAGAAAAUUAGUAAAGUGAUUGAAUUUAAAAUUUUUAUUAAAAAUUAAAUUUUUAAAAGUAAAUUUAAUUUAUUGUAUCUUGUGUAUCAGAGUUUAAAAAAAAAGUAAAAUAAGAAGUUGAAUUUCUCGAAAAAAAUAAAGAGAUAAAAGUUAAAUUUUUGUUAAUGUAAAAAAAUUAUAAAAAAUUAAUUUUUAGAAAUAAAAAGUUAUUCGGUUUUUUUUAUAUCUAGUUUUUAAAGAAAUAAAUUUAAUUUAAUUUUUAUUUUAUAUAUUAUGAAUUAAAUUUCAAUUAAAAAUUAAUAUUUUAGUUUUAUUUGUUUAAAUUAUUAAUUAAAUAUUAUUAAUUAUUUUUAUGUAAAUAAAAUUAAGUAAAUAUAGGGUUAAGCUUAUAUUUAAAAUUUUUUAAAUUUUAGAUUGAUUAAGAAAAAUAAAAUUAUAAAAUUAAAAUUUUUUUUUAAUUUAAAGUUUUUAAUAUAAUAUUUAUUUAGAUUUAAAAAGAUAAUAUUUAAAAUUUGAUGAAAUUAAGAAUUUAUUUAAAAAAUGAUAAUAAUUUUUUUUAUAAAGAUUUAAUGUUAAAAUUAGUAUAAAUUAUGAUGAAAAUUCAAUUAAAUUUAAAAUAAUUUAAAUUAAUUUAAAUUAAUGAAUUAGGCAAAAUUAAAUUAUUAUAAUAGUAUAAAUUUAGUUAUUUCACUUGUUUAACAAAAACAUGUCUUUUAGAAGUAAAUUUAAAGUCUAAUCUGCCCACUGAAAAUUAAGUUUUAAAGGGCUGCAGAAUUUUAACUGUACAAAGGUAGCAUAAUAAAUUGUUUUUUAAUUGAAAACUAGAAUGAAAGAUUUAAUGAAAAUAAUUCUGUAUAAAUUUAAUUAAUAGAAUUUAUUUUUUUUGUUAAAAAUCAAAAAUAAAUUAAAAAGACGAGAAGACCCUUUAGAUUUUAAUUAUUUUAAAAAUUUGAUUUAUAUAUAUAUAAUUUUUGAUUUUUAACAUAAUUUGAUUGGGGUGAUUAAUAAAUUUAAUUAACUUUAUUUUAAAAUAUUAUAAAAUUUAAAUUAAAAAAUUUAAAAUUAAAAAUUGAUUUAGUUUUAUGGAUUAAAGGAUUAAAUUACCUAAGGGAUAACAGCGUUAUUUAAAUUUUUAGUUCUUAUAGAAAUUUGAGAUUGCGACCUCGAUGUUGGAUUAAGAUUAUUUAAAAUUGAAGAAAGUUUAUAUUUUAGUCUGUUCGACUAUUAAAAUCUUACAUGAUCUGAGUUCAAACCGGUGUGAGCCAGGUUGGUUUCUAUCUUUUAAAAUUAGAGGAAAAGAUAUUUUAGUACGAAAGGAUUAAAUAUUUAAAAUAAUAAAUUUUUGGUAAAAAAUAAGAAAUUUAAUAAAAUAUAGAAAAAAAAAU
RNAcentral lists this ribosomal RNA (1490 nucleotides) under Hydropsyche fulvipes. RNAcentral describes it as "large subunit ribosomal RNA". Lineage: Eukaryota; Metazoa; Arthropoda; Insecta; Trichoptera; Hydropsychidae. The record is from RNAcentral.